Molecule: ribosomal RNA, 558 nt
Filed under: Sarcocystis cruzi
Lineage: Eukaryota; Apicomplexa; Conoidasida; Eucoccidiorida; Sarcocystidae
Description: SSU rRNA
Rfam family: Eukaryotic small subunit ribosomal RNA
Source: RNAcentral
UUCUAUGGCUAAUACAUGCGCAAAUAUCUUUUUUCGCAAGAAAGAGGAUAGUGUUUAUUAGAUACAGAACCAAUACACCAUCUGUUAACAGCAGGUGGUGUAAAAAAGGUGAUUCAUAGUAACCGAACGGAUCGCAUUAUGGUCAUUUUAUAUGGCUGGCGAUAGAUCAUUCAAGUUUCUGACCUAUCAGCUUUCGACGGUAGUGUAUUGGACUACCGUGGCAGUGACGGGUAACGGGGAAUUAGGGUUCGAUUCCGGAGAGGGAGCCUGAGAAACGGCUACCACAUCUAAGGAAGGCAGCAGGCGCGCAAAUUACCCAAUCCUGACUCAGGGAGGUAGUGACAAGAAAUAACAACACUGGAAAUUUUAUUUCUAGUGAUUGGAAUGAUGGGAAUUUAAACCCCUUUCAGAGUAACAAUUGGAGGGCAAGUCUGGUGCCAGCAGCCGCGGUAAUUCCAGCUCCAAUAGCGUAUAUUAAAGUUGUUGCAGUUAAAAAGCUCGUAGUUGGAUGUCUGCUGGAAGCAAUCAGUCCGCCCUAUUUGUAGGGUGUGCACUUGA